This 92-nucleotide transfer RNA is filed under the name Candidatus Methylacidithermus pantelleriae. Its description in RNAcentral is "Methylacidiphilaceae bacterium PQ17 tRNA-Ser". It matches the Rfam family "tRNA". From Rfam's summary of the family: Transfer RNA (tRNA) molecules are approximately 80 nucleotides in length. Their secondary structure includes four short double-helical elements and three loops (D, anti-codon, and T loops). Further hydrogen bonds mediate the characteristic L-shaped molecular structure. tRNAs have two regions of fundamental functional importance: the anti-codon, which is responsible for specific mRNA codon recognition, and the 3' end, to which the tRNAs corresponding amino acid is attached (by aminoacyl-tRNA synthetases). tRNAs cope with the degeneracy of the genetic code in two manners: having more than one tRNA (with a specific anti-codon) for a particular amino acid; and 'wobble' base-pairing, i.e. permitting non-standard base-pairing at the 3rd anti-codon position. The record is from RNAcentral. Lineage: Bacteria; Pseudomonadati; Verrucomicrobiota; Methylacidiphilae; Methylacidiphilales; Methylacidiphilaceae.
GGACAGGUGCCGGAGUGGUUGAACGGGGCGGUCUUGAAAAUCGCUAGGCGGGACCUCCCGCCUCGUGGGUUCGAAUCCCACCCUGUCCGCGA